Molecule: ribosomal RNA, 468 nt
Filed under: uncultured bacterium
Lineage: Bacteria
Description: partial 16S ribosomal RNA
Rfam family: Bacterial small subunit ribosomal RNA
Source: RNAcentral
GACGAACGCUGGCGGCGUGCUUAACACAUGCAAGUCGAACGGAAAGGCCCUGCUUUUGUGGGGUGCUCGAGUGGCGAACGGGUGAGUAACACGUGAGUAACCUGCCCUUGACUUUGGGAUAACUUCAGGAAACUGGGGCUAAUACCGGAUAGGAGCUCCUGCUGCAUGGUGGGGGUUGGAAAGAUUCGGCGGUUGGGGAUGGACUCGCGGCUUAUCAGCUUGUUGGUGGGGUAGUGGCUUACCAAGGCUUUGACGGGUAGGCGGCCUGAGAGGGUGACCGGCCACAUUGGGACUGAGAGACGGCCCAGACUCCUACGGGAGGCAGCAGUGGGGAAUAUUGCACAAUGGGCGGAAGCCUGAUGCAGCAACGCCGCGUGCGGGAUGACGGCUUUCGGGUUGUAAACCGAUUUCGCCUGUGACGAAGAGUGAGUGACGGUAAUGGGUAAAGAAGCACCGGCUAACUACGUG